Malurus melanocephalus (red-backed fairy wren) is the source of this 190-nucleotide long non-coding RNA. RefSeq lists it as uncharacterized. The transcript is spliced from 3 exons. The record is from RefSeq and is a predicted model, not a curated record. Lineage: Eukaryota; Metazoa; Chordata; Aves; Passeriformes; Maluridae.
AAUACAACCGGGACUACGAGGGGCAGAUUGCUGCCUACAGACAGAACCCGGAGCAGUCGGACGAGGAUGAGGAGAAAAGUCGACGUGACUCCGAGGGUUCGGGUUCCUCCUCGGGGGCCGAGGACGAGUCCGGAACGUUCCUGAAACGCCGCGAUCGGGACGAGCCCCGGGGACGCUACAAAGUGAGAAA